CUUUUGUACUUGCUGUACGCCGGCUGGCUAGGUCGCUCUGCUGCAUCUUUGUUUGGAUGGGCACAAUUCAUUGAAGAUAUUACAGUUUUCCAAUUUACAGGAAACAAUCAGAAACAGAAGUAACCCACUGUACAUUAUACAUAUCAGAUCCCAAAUGGGUCUGCCAGACCCACUGGCACAAGGCAAUGAUGAGAUCGAUCAUUUAUUGAUUGGCCUUGUGCUAGAAGCCUCAGAAUUUCAUAAAAAGCAUCAUGUAAAUAGCAAGGGUUUAAAGAAGGACUUCUCUAUCAGUUGGCAACAAGCCAAGGAGAUGGUCAGAAACUGUCCU
Molecule: non-coding RNA, 328 nt
Organism: Cricetulus griseus (Chinese hamster)
Lineage: Eukaryota; Metazoa; Chordata; Mammalia; Rodentia; Cricetidae
Source: RefSeq, a predicted model, not a curated record